UACGUAGGUGGCAAGCGUUGUCUGGAAUUAUUGGGCGUAAAGCGCGCGCAGGCGGCCUCAUAAGUCUGAUGUGAAAGCCCCCGGCUCAACCGGGGAGGGCCAUUGGAAACUGGGAGGCUUGAGUGUAGGAGAGAAGAGUAGAAUUCCAGGUGUAGCGGUGAAAUGCGUAGAGAUCGGGAGGAACACCAGUGGCGAAGGCGACUCUCUGGCCUAUAACUGACGCUGAGGCGCGAAAGCGUGGGGAGCAAACAGG
RNAcentral lists this unclassified non-coding RNA (253 nucleotides) under uncultured Caryophanales bacterium. Its description in RNAcentral is "uncultured Bacillales bacterium contains 16S-23S intergenic spacer region". It matches the Rfam family "Bacterial small subunit ribosomal RNA", at positions 524 to 776 of the family's 1533-position model. The record is from RNAcentral. Lineage: Bacteria; Bacillati; Bacillota; Bacilli; Caryophanales.